CCUACGGGUGGCUGCAGUGGGGAAUAUUGGGCAAUGGGCGCAAGCCUGACCCAGCAAUGCCGCGUGAAGGAAGAAGGCUUUCGGGUUGUAAACUUCUUUUACAGGGGAAGAGCAGAAGACGGUACCCUAAAAACAAACCACGGCUAACUACGUGCCAGCAGCCGCGGUAAGACGUAGGUGGCAAGCGUUGUCCGGAUUUACUGGGCGUAAAGGGCGUGUAGCCGGGAAGGGAAGUCAGAUGUGAAAUCCGGGGGCUCAACCGCCGAAUUGCAUUUGAAACUGUUUUUCUUGAGUACUGGAGGGGCAGACGGAAUUCCUUGUGUAGCGGUGAAAGGCG
RNAcentral lists this ribosomal RNA (337 nucleotides) under uncultured bacterium. RNAcentral's name for it is "partial 16S ribosomal RNA". It matches the Rfam family "Bacterial small subunit ribosomal RNA", at positions 338 to 690 of the family's 1533-position model. The record is from RNAcentral.